RNAcentral lists this ribosomal RNA (492 nucleotides) under uncultured bacterium. RNAcentral's name for it is "bacterial SSU rRNA". It matches the Rfam family "Bacterial small subunit ribosomal RNA", at positions 28 to 507 of the family's 1533-position model. The record is from RNAcentral.
GAUGAACGCUAGCGGGAGGCUUAACACAUGCAAGUCGAGGGCAUUUCUGAUCCCGAGUAAUCGGGAUUCGGGAACGACCGGCGCACGGGUGAGUAACGCGUAUGCAACCUGCCCUGUACUGGAGGAUAGCUCUCGGAAACGGGAAUUAAUACUCCAUGAUGAUAUACUGGGGGCAUCCCGGUAUAUUUAAAACUCCGGUGGUACGGGAUGGGCAUGCGUAACAUUAGCUAGUUGGUAAGGUAACGGCCUACCAAGGCUACGAUGUUUAGGGGGCCUGAGAGGGUGAUCCCCCACACUGGUACUGAGACACGGGCCAGACUCCUACGGGAGGCAGCAGUGAGGAAUAUUGGUCAAUGGGCGCAAGCCUGAACCAGCCAUCCCGCGUGCAGGAAGAAGGCGUUAUGCGUUGUAAACUGCUUUUGCAGGGGACGAAAAACCCCGACGUGUCGGGGCUUGACUGUACCUUGUGAAUAAGCAUCGGCUAACUCCGUG